CUUUGGAAAAUAAGUCACAGCCUCUGGGGUUGGCCUGUCAGUCAUCCAGCAGUCUAAUUUUAACUCUAAUUCACUUCAAUGAUUUGGCACCUAGGUCACUGCCUUCAAGCUAUGCCCGGUCAGCGAUCAGAGGUAGCCAUGGGAUACAAGGCAGCACACUGGGGACUUCAAAUCCUUAGAGUUGGGAUAAAACUGGAUACUGCCACUUCCCAGCACGAUAGCCUUGGGCAACUCCCACACAGACAUCCUUCAAGAAGGGGAAGACAGCUUUCAGACCAAGCACAAGGAGGUUUCAGACAAUUCAGCAGGCUGUGGUAGAGUUCCUGGAAUGGAGCAGAAAGCCCAAAAUAGAUAUCCGGGAAAAAAGAGGAAAUGGUGACAAAGAACUUCCUUUAAAAUGACAAGACCCUCCUUUUAUUGCCACAAUUGAGUCACGUGAAUUUUUGGUCCCUUCCAUGGAGAAGGGUGUUCCCAUGGGUUGAUUCAUGUACUUUAUUUCCUCCUUGAAGAGAGAGAAGGAAAAAAAAAAAAUGAUGAUCUAAGUAAUUGCAGCCAUCAAAGUAGUAAGAACUCAUCGAUCUCAAGUUCAACAGAAAUCUCAGUGAAAUAAUGCAGGGCUUAGAGAUUCUGUUCUUGUGAAAAUUCAUUCACUCAACAAAUGUUGAUUGUCUGCUCUAGACCAAAUGCUGGGAUAUAGAAACUAAUACAAUACUGCUCGUGCCACUAAGGACCUCUUUCUCUGUGGAAGACACAAAGUAAAUGAAGAACACUAUGAAAAACGAACCUAAAGGACCACUCUGUUUUUCCCUGUGGCCCUUCACAGGGCUACUGCCCAUGGAAAUCCCACAAAAAGAAGAGUUUCACAGGUUAGUUGCUGUAGUGGGUUGUAUGGUGUCCUCUCAAAAUUCAUGUCCACCUAAAUCUCAGAAUAUGACAUUAUUGGGAAAUAGGGUCUUUGCAGAUGAAAUUAAGAUGAGGUCCUAUCAGAUUAGGG
Molecule: long non-coding RNA, 994 nt
Filed under: Bos indicus x Bos taurus (hybrid cattle)
Lineage: Eukaryota; Metazoa; Chordata; Mammalia; Artiodactyla; Bovidae
Description: lncRNA (ENSBIXG00000025029.1)
Source: RNAcentral